AGUCAUAUGCUUGUCUCAAAGAUUAAGCCAUGCAUGUCUCAGUACAAGCCAAAUUAAGGUGAAACCGCGAAAGGCUCAUUAAAUCAGUUAUGGUUCCUUAGAUCGUACCACACUUACUUGGAUAACUGUGGUAAUUCUAGAGCUAAUACAUGCAAACAGAGUUCCAACCGGAGACGGAAGGAGCGCUUUUAUUAGAUCAAAACCAAUCGGUGGCGGGUUCGCUCGUCAUCGUACAACUUGGUGACUCUGAAUAACUUUUUGCUGAUCGCACGGUCUUGCACCGGCGACGCAUCUUUCAAAUGUCUGCCUUAUCAACUGUCGAUGGUAGGUUCUGCGCCUACCAUGGUUGUAACGGGUAACGGGGAAUCAGGGUUCGAUUCCGGAGAGGGAGCCUGAGAAACGGCUACCACAUCCAAGGAAGGCAGCAGGCGCGCAAAUUACCCACUCCCGGCACGGGGAGGUAGUGACGAAAAAUAACGAUACGGGACUCAUCCGAGGCCCCGUAAUCGGAAUGAGUACACUCUAAACUCUUUAACGAGGAUCAAUUGGAGGGCAAGUCUGGUGCCAGCAGCCGCGGUAAUUCCAGCUCCAAUAGCGUAU
RNAcentral lists this ribosomal RNA (600 nucleotides) under Thinodromus sp. MNCN AI554. RNAcentral describes it as "SSU rRNA". It matches the Rfam family "Eukaryotic small subunit ribosomal RNA", at positions 22 to 602 of the family's 1831-position model. The record is from RNAcentral. Lineage: Eukaryota; Metazoa; Arthropoda; Insecta; Coleoptera; Staphylinidae.